This 182-nucleotide non-coding RNA is filed under the name Pseudobdellovibrionaceae bacterium. RNAcentral describes it as "Bdellovibrionaceae bacterium 6S RNA". It matches the Rfam family "6S / SsrS RNA". Rfam says of the family: E. coli 6S RNA was the first non coding RNA to be sequenced, but its function was unknown until recently. It consists of 184 nucleotides that fold into an extended hairpin structure with a large single-stranded internal bulge. Lineage: Bacteria; Pseudomonadati; Bdellovibrionota; Bdellovibrionia; Bdellovibrionales; Pseudobdellovibrionaceae. The record is from RNAcentral.
AGGUUUCUGUGGCUUGGGAACUUAGUAUAAUUUAAACCUUACAAGCAUAUACCAUGGGAGCUGCCUCUGGUGCCGGUGUGCAAGCUCAGCUAGUACUGAGAAGCCUAAUGGUUCUAUAGCGGUGCCCACUUUAAACUAAGUGGUUUAAAUAUCAUCAUCCCAAGCGCUAACACAGAAACCCU